This 56-nucleotide non-coding RNA is filed under the name unclassified sequences. The record is from Rfam.
UAUAUUUGCGCCGCUGUAAUGCAUACAUAAAAAUCAUUUAAAUUAAUAUUGGCAUG